This 759-nucleotide long non-coding RNA is filed under the name Phasianus colchicus (ring-necked pheasant). RNAcentral describes it as "lncRNA (ENSPCLG00000016733.1)". Lineage: Eukaryota; Metazoa; Chordata; Aves; Galliformes; Phasianidae. The record is from RNAcentral.
GGAUGAGCGGAUCAAAGGUAACGUCUGUUUUGGAGAAAUGCUAGCAUCUCUGGAGGAGCUGGGUGCUGGGGCAGGGACAGCACUGCCAGGAUGCUGGGGGCCCGCUCCUCAUGUGCAGUAAACUCUGCUUCUCCCACAGAUCUGCAAGCCCAGAACGAGAAGGCUGAGCAGGAGAGGGAGGCUGAGAGGGAGAGGGAGGUGGAAAGACUGCAGGAGAUGGAGGACUGGAUUUGUGGAUAUGAGCACGCUGAGCAGGAGUGGGAGGCUGAGAGGGAAAGGGCGGCAGAAGAACUGCAGAGGAUGGAGAACCGGGCUCGCUGCUCUGAAGAGGAAGUGCUUCGGCUGAGAAAGAAACUGACUGAAGAGAAGAAAUAUUAUUACAAGGGUGGGCACUCCAGAGGUGGUUUUCAGCAGCAGAACACCAGGAGUAACAGGUCUUUUAGAAUAAUGCCAAUGCUGGGUACUGUACUAGUAUUGGCAUUUUUUGCAGCCAGAAUUGUGCUUUGAGGAAGAAAUGGGAUCUUCUGUAACUGCUGGUGAAUUGAGCAAAUUUCUGAUCAUCUACUCGAGGAAUUGCUGUUCAUCUGUUCAUGGAAUCGCACUCCUUCCUUUGCUCAGGGACUGUGCAACAAUAGCUUUGAAAAGAGUGACCUUCGUGUUUCUGUACACUUUGCAUUUCUUUAGAGUUGUGCUUUGCUUCUGAAAAUGCUAGGUUAAAAAGAAAAUAAAAAAGAUGUCAAGCAUGAACUGGUGUCUAAA